This 251-nucleotide ribosomal RNA is filed under the name uncultured Chytridiomycetes. RNAcentral describes it as "partial small subunit ribosomal RNA". It matches the Rfam family "Eukaryotic small subunit ribosomal RNA", at positions 587 to 841 of the family's 1831-position model. The record is from RNAcentral. Lineage: Eukaryota; Fungi; Chytridiomycota; Chytridiomycetes.
AGCUCCAAUAGCGUAUAUUAAAGUUGUUGCGGUUAAAAAGCUCGUAGUCGAAUUUUGGGUUUGGCUAGACGGUCGGCCGGAAGGUCAGCACUGUUCUGAUUGAGCCUUAAUGCUUCUGGAACCUCAGUGUGCUCUUUGUUGAGUGCUUCAGGGAACCAGGACUUUUACUGUGAAGAAAUUAGAGUGUUUAAAGCAAGCAUACGCUUGAAUACAUUAGCAUGGAAUAAUAAAAUAGGACUUUGGUCUUAUUU